Molecule: small nuclear RNA, 27 nt
Filed under: Arabidopsis thaliana (thale cress)
Lineage: Eukaryota; Viridiplantae; Streptophyta; Magnoliopsida; Brassicales; Brassicaceae
Description: snRNA_14141
Source: RNAcentral
CUUGAGUUCAACUCUCAAUGAAAGCAC